UGUAUCUGAAGCCUGACGAGGAUGAGAACCUCCGGGGGCAAGAGGUUCGACCCGAGCGAAGCGAGAGAACGUUGCGUCAGCAACGGCCCGCAGGGCGAGCCAUCCUCUAUCACCGGCAG
RNAcentral lists this small RNA (119 nucleotides) under Salmonella enterica subsp. enterica serovar Infantis. RNAcentral's name for it is "RtT sRNA". It matches the Rfam family "RtT RNA". Rfam says of the family: This family represents a bacterial cis-regulatory element known as RtT RNA. The exact function of RtT is unknown although it is thought that it may be involved in changing the cellular response in relation to amino acid starvation. Lineage: Bacteria; Pseudomonadati; Pseudomonadota; Gammaproteobacteria; Enterobacterales; Enterobacteriaceae. RNAcentral also lists the same sequence under 158 other names. The record is from RNAcentral.